AGAAUCAACGCUGGCGGCGUGCCUCAGACAUGCAAGUCGAACGCGAAAGUCCCCUUCGGGGGUGAGUAGAGUGGCGCACGGGUGAGUAACACGUAGGUAAUCUACCUUUGGAUGGGGAAUAACAACCGGAAACGGUUGCUAAUACCGCAUAAUGCAGCGGCACCUAAUGGUGACAGUUGUUAAAACGGGGGAUCGAAAGACCUCGCGUCUGAAGAGGAGCCUGCGGCGGAUUAGCUAGUUGGUAGGGUAACGGCCUACCAAGGCUACGAUCCGUA
RNAcentral lists this ribosomal RNA (275 nucleotides) under uncultured soil bacterium. Its description in RNAcentral is "partial 16S ribosomal RNA". It matches the Rfam family "Bacterial small subunit ribosomal RNA", at positions 26 to 285 of the family's 1533-position model. The record is from RNAcentral.